GAUGAACGCUGGCGGCGUGCCUAAUACAUGCAAGUCGAGCGAACAGACGAGUAGCUUGCUCCUCUGACGUUAGCGGCGGACGGGUGAGUAACACGUGGAUAACCUACCUAUAAGACUGGGAUAACUUCGGGACACCGUCGCUAAUACCGGAUAAUAUAUUGAACCGCAUGGUUCAAUAGUGAAAGACGGUUUUGCUGUCACUUAUAGAUGUAUCCGCGCCGCAUUAGCUAGUUGGUAAGGUAACGGCUUACCAAGGCGACGAUGCGUAGCCGACGUGAGAGGGUGAUCGGCCACACUGGAACGGAGACACGGUCCAGAGUCCUACGGGAGGCAGCAGUAGGGAAUCUGCCGCAAUGGGCGAAAGCCUGACGGAGCAACGCCGCGUGAGUGAUGAAGGUCUUCGGAUCGUAAAACUCUGUUAUUAGGGAAGAACAAAUGUGUAAGUAACUAUGCACGUCUUGACGGUACCUAAUCAGAAAGCCACGGCUAACUACGUG
RNAcentral lists this ribosomal RNA (497 nucleotides) under uncultured bacterium. RNAcentral's name for it is "partial 16S ribosomal RNA". It matches the Rfam family "Bacterial small subunit ribosomal RNA", at positions 28 to 507 of the family's 1533-position model. The record is from RNAcentral.